GGAGGUAUGGCUCAAGUGGUGUAGAGUGCCAGUCCAGCAUGUGUGAGAACCUGGGUUCAAACCUCAGUACCACCA
RNAcentral lists this transfer RNA (75 nucleotides) under Dipodomys ordii (Ord's kangaroo rat). It matches the Rfam family "tRNA". From Rfam's summary of the family: Transfer RNA (tRNA) molecules are approximately 80 nucleotides in length. Their secondary structure includes four short double-helical elements and three loops (D, anti-codon, and T loops). Lineage: Eukaryota; Metazoa; Chordata; Mammalia; Rodentia; Heteromyidae. The record is from Rfam by way of RNAcentral.